This 393-nucleotide ribosomal RNA is filed under the name uncultured bacterium. Its description in RNAcentral is "partial 16S ribosomal RNA". It matches the Rfam family "Bacterial small subunit ribosomal RNA", at positions 523 to 918 of the family's 1533-position model. The record is from RNAcentral.
AUACGGAAGGUCCGGGCGUUAUCCGGAUUUAUUGGGUUUAAAGGGAGCGCAGGCGGAGAUGCAAGCGUGACGUCAAAUUUCGGGGCUCAACCCCGUCUCGCGUCGCGAACUGCGUCCCUUGGUUGCGGGAAGGGGAGGCGGCACUCGUAGUGUAGCGGGGAAAUGCAUAGAUAUCACGAAGAACUCCGAUCGCGAAGGCAGCCUUCCGGCCCGUCAACGACGCUCAUGCUCGAAGGUGCGGGUAUCAAACAGGAUUAGAUACCCUGGUAGUCCGCACAGUAAACGAUGGACACCCGCGGUUUGGCUUGUAUGGCUGAGCCGCCAAGCGAAAGCGUUAAGUGUCCCACCUGGGGAGUACGCCGGCAACGGUGAAACUCAAAGGAAUUGACGGGG